Perca flavescens (yellow perch) is the source of this 387-nucleotide long non-coding RNA. RefSeq lists it as uncharacterized. The transcript is spliced from 3 exons. Lineage: Eukaryota; Metazoa; Chordata; Actinopteri; Perciformes; Percidae. The record is from RefSeq and is a predicted model, not a curated record.
GGACAGCUCUAGUUGUGGAGUCUUAAUUUUGAUGUUUGCAGAGCUCAUUCUCCAAGGUAGAAGUAUCUGCGUUGCUCAAACAGACACAGAGGAGGUCUCAGCCGCAAGAGUCAAAAUUGCAGCCACUCUUCUGGAAUGCAAAGAUGGUGUGGAAGAUCUCUGUGUUUCCUGCAACAUGUUGCAGUUUGAUGCUGAGGAGGAUUUCACAGAGAUGGUAAUAAGACAAUAGGUUAUAUAUUGACAAACUGGCAACUUUCACUAUCCAUCCACUCAGCUUUUUAAGGCUGAGCAAUUUUAUUGAUUCUGCGAUAUAAAUCGAUAUUUUUCCCCCCAAGAAAGUAUAGAUUUUUAUGCCACGAGUAUCGAUACAUAAGUUCCAUUCAAAUC